UAUAAUUUUGUAAAAAACUUAAGAAUACAGAAAAAAAUAAUUUUGUUCUUCUGGUUUCGAUAAUUAAGCAUAAGAAAUGAAUAAUUUGGUGAAUUUAUUUUCUUUUUUGGGGUACAUUACACUUUUGGUUUGUAAUUUCUGACUUAAACUUUUUGAAUUAUUACGAUUAAUGCCCUACAAUCUAUUAAUUUUUUUUGACAAAAUAUUGAUGAAUUACUUAUAAAAGUGAUGUAGCAUUUUUAUUACUGUUGUAUCAUUAAUUACGAUAUUGCUAUACAACUCAUA
Molecule: long non-coding RNA, 285 nt
Filed under: Ananas comosus (pineapple)
Lineage: Eukaryota; Viridiplantae; Streptophyta; Magnoliopsida; Poales; Bromeliaceae
Description: long non-coding RNA (ACOM_LNC009279)
Source: RNAcentral